UGAUGGGAUGAAAUGUCUAUUUUGACUGGUUACAUGAUGAAUAAAACAAAAAUCACCAUCUUUCGGCUGACA
RNAcentral lists this small nucleolar RNA (72 nucleotides) under Numida meleagris (helmeted guineafowl). The record is from RNAcentral. Lineage: Eukaryota; Metazoa; Chordata; Aves; Galliformes; Numididae.